RNAcentral lists this ribosomal RNA (1235 nucleotides) under metagenome. RNAcentral describes it as "bacterial LSU rRNA". It matches the Rfam family "Bacterial large subunit ribosomal RNA", at positions 1564 to 2808 of the family's 2925-position model. The record is from RNAcentral.
UGAAUACGAGAUGCUACGGCGUCGAAGCAGUGUAUGUCAGACUUCCAAGAAAAGCUCGCAAUGUCAUAAAUAAAGAAUGCCUGUACCAUAACCGACACAGGUGGGUAGGUAGAGUAUACUAAGGGGCGCGAGAUAACUCUCUCUAAGGAACUCGGCAAAAUAACUCCGUAACUUCGGGAGAAGGAGUGCCUUCUUUAAGAAGGUUGCAAUAACAAGAUCCAAGCAACUGUUUAUCAAAAACACAGGUCUCCGCUAAGUCGUAAGACGAUGUAUGGGGGCUGACGCCUGCCCAGUGCCAGAAGGUUAAAGAAGUUGGUUAGCUUUUGCGAAGCUGAUGACUGAAGCCCUGGUGAACGGCGGCCGUAACGAUAACGGUCCUAAGGUAGCGAAAUUCCUUGUCGGGUAAGUUCCGACCCGCACGAAAGGCGUAAUGAUUUGGAUACUGUCUCGGAGAGGGACUCGGUGAAAUAGACUUGUCUGUGAAGAUGCGGACUACCUGCACCAGGACAGAAAGACCCUAUGAAGCUUUACUGUAACUUGAAAUUGAAAUUGGACUUUAUUUGCGCAGUAUAGGUGGAAGGCGUUGAAAGUAAUCUUGCGGGAUUAGUGGAGCCAUCAGUGAGAUACCACUCCUAUAAUGUUAGAUUUCUAACUUUGGAUCAUGAUCUGGUCAAAGAACAGUUUCAGGCGGGCAGUUUGACUGGGGCGGUCGCCUCCCAAAUGGUAACGGAGGCGUACAAAGGUUUCCUCUGAACGGGUAGAAAUCGUAUCUAGUGUGUAAAGGCAUAAGGAAGCUUGACUGUGAGACCUACAAGUCGAGCAGGGACGAAAGUCGGUCUUAGUGAUCUGACGGUGCUGAGUGGAAAGGCCGUCACUCAACGGAUAAAAGUUACUCUAGGAUAACAGGCUGAUCUCCCCCAAGAGUUCACAUCGACGGGGAGGUUUGGCACCUCGAUGUCGGCUCAUCGCAUCCUGGGGCGGUAGUACGUCCCAAGGGUUGGGCUGUUCGCCCAUGAAAGCGGUACGCGAGCUGGGUUCAGAACGUCGUGAGACAGUUCGGUCCAUAUCCGGUGUAGGCGUUAGAAUAUUGAGAGGAGCCUUCUUUAGUACGAGAGGACCGAGAAGGACAUACCUCUGGUGUACCAGUUAUCGUGCCAACGGUAAACGCUGGGUAGCUAUGUAUGGAGAGGAUAACCGCUGAAAGCAUCUAAGUGGGAAGCCCACCUCAAGAUGAG